Non-coding RNA from Oryza punctata, 99 nucleotides. The record is from Rfam. NCBI's taxonomy places the organism in Eukaryota, Viridiplantae, Streptophyta, Magnoliopsida, Poales, Poaceae.
GUUUUACCAGGAGUUCCCUUCAAGCACUUCACGUAGAGCUUUCUAUUGAUAAGGAGCUUUAGAACAAUGUGAAGUGUUUGGGGGAACUCUUGGUACCAA